CAAGGGAGCAACUGAGUGGCGAACGGGUGAGUAACACGUGGGUGACCUACCUUCGAGUGGGGGAUAACGUCCCGAAAGGGACGCUAAUACCGCAUAACAUCCUGUCCUUGAACGGAUGGGGAUCAAAGCCGGGGAUCGCAAGACCUGGCGUUUGAAGAGGGGCCCGCGUCUGAUUAGCUAGUUGGUGGGGUAACGGCUCACCAAGGCGACGAUCAGUAUCCGGCCUGAGAGGGCGGACGGACACACUGGGACUGAGACACGGCCCAGACUCCUACGGGAGGCAGCAGUGGGGAAUUGUUCGCAAUGGGCGCAAGCCUGACGACGCAACGCCGCGUGGAGGAUGAAGGUCUUCGGGUUGUAAACUCCUGUUGCCCGGGACGAAAAGCUUCAACCUAAUACGUUGAAGUCUGACGGUACCGGGUGAGGAAGCCCCGGCUAACUCUGUGCCAGCAGCCGCGGUAAUACAGAGGGGGCAAGCGUUG
Molecule: ribosomal RNA, 482 nt
Filed under: uncultured bacterium
Lineage: Bacteria
Description: bacterial SSU rRNA
Rfam family: Bacterial small subunit ribosomal RNA
Source: RNAcentral